Molecule: transfer RNA, 73 nt
Filed under: Pteropus alecto (black flying fox)
Lineage: Eukaryota; Metazoa; Chordata; Mammalia; Chiroptera; Pteropodidae
Rfam family: tRNA
About the family: Transfer RNA (tRNA) molecules are approximately 80 nucleotides in length. Their secondary structure includes four short double-helical elements and three loops (D, anti-codon, and T loops).
Source: Rfam by way of RNAcentral
GGUUCCAUAGUGUAGCGGUUAGCACAUCCGCUUUACACGCAGAAGGUCCUAGAUUUGUGCCACAGUGGAGCCC